This 254-nucleotide ribosomal RNA is filed under the name uncultured bacterium. RNAcentral describes it as "partial 16S ribosomal RNA". It matches the Rfam family "Bacterial small subunit ribosomal RNA", at positions 524 to 776 of the family's 1533-position model. The record is from RNAcentral.
UACGUAGGACCCAAGCGUUAUCCGGAAUUACUGGGCGUAAAGAGUUGCGUAGGUGGCAAAGUAAGUAGGUAGUGAAAGCACCCCGCUCAACGGGGUAAACAUUACUUAAACUGCUUAGCUAGAGAAUGAGAGAGGUCACUGGAAUUCCUAGUGUAGGAGUGAAAUCCGUAGAUAUUAGGAGGAACACCGAUGGCGUAGGCAGGUGACUGGCUCAUUUCUGACACUAAUGCACGAAAGCGUGGGGAGCGAACAGG